Fundulus heteroclitus (mummichog) is the source of this 468-nucleotide long non-coding RNA. RefSeq lists it as uncharacterized. The transcript has 3 exons. The record is from RefSeq and is a predicted model, not a curated record. Lineage: Eukaryota; Metazoa; Chordata; Actinopteri; Cyprinodontiformes; Fundulidae.
UGGUUUGCUUCACCGCAGACUGAAUCCAACUCAAUCUUUGAAUAUCCCAAAGCAUCUGCAGGUUCUAACCAGUUAUUUGUGUCAUUUUUACAGAGAAGUCUCCACACGAUGAGAGCCAAGUGGAGGAAGAAGCGCAUGCGCAGGCUGAAGCGUAAAAGGAGAAAGAUGAGGCAGAGGUCAAAGUAAGCCCUCAUCCCUGCCAGCUGUGGUCCCAUCUGAGCUUCUCCAGAUCAACAGACCAUUCAUCCAGGAAGUGGCUGUGUGACGCAUCUACUGAAACUGUGGAAAAGUCCCGAUUGUUCAUCUGAGGACAGCUGUGGAUGUGCUGCUGGAAGAAGUUGAAGAUGCUGGACGAAUAUCACCAGAAAGUGCAGCUGCAUUGUUCAUGGACCAUGAUACAACUUGUUUACUUGCAAACUGUCAUGUGGUGUAUUGAACAAUAAAUGAACACUGUUAAGUCUCCACACA